Molecule: unclassified non-coding RNA, 230 nt
Filed under: soil metagenome
Description: partial contains small subunit ribosomal RNA, internal transcribed spacer 1, and 5.8S ribosomal RNA
Source: RNAcentral
UCUCCGUAGGUGAACCUGCGGAGGGAUCAUUACCGAGUUCAUGCCCUUACGGGUAGAUCUCCCACCCUAUGUUAUUAUUACCUUUGUUGCUUUGGCGGGCCGCCAGGCUCCGGUCAGGCUAUCGGCUUCGGCUGGUAAGCGCCCGCCAGAGGACCCAAUAUCCUGAUUAUUAGUGUCGUCUGAGUACUAUAUAAUAGUUAAAACUUUCAACAACGGAUCUCUUGGUUCUG